RNAcentral lists this unclassified non-coding RNA (230 nucleotides) under plant metagenome. RNAcentral describes it as "partial contains small subunit ribosomal RNA and internal transcribed spacer 1". The stretch from base 1 to 46 matches the Rfam family "Eukaryotic small subunit ribosomal RNA", at positions 1786 to 1831 of the family's 1831-position model. The record is from RNAcentral.
AAGUCGUAACAAGGUUUCCGUAGGUGAACCUGCGGAAGGAUCAUUAAAGAGUUAGGGUCCAUAGCUGGCCCAACCUCCAACCUCAUGUUGUUAAACUACCUUGUUUGCGUUUGGCGGACCGUUCGGUCUCCGAGCGCGUUAACCCUCGGGUUGGCGAGCGCCCGCCAAAGUCCAACCAAACUCUUGUAUUAAACCAGUCGUCUGAGUAUAAAAUUUUAAUUAAAUUAAAA